This 73-nucleotide transfer RNA is filed under the name Patescibacteria group bacterium. RNAcentral's name for it is "tRNA-Lys". It matches the Rfam family "tRNA". Rfam says of the family: Transfer RNA (tRNA) molecules are approximately 80 nucleotides in length. The record is from RNAcentral.
CCGCCUCUAGCUCAAUCGGUAGAGCAACCGCCUUUUAAGCGGUAGGUUCCGGGAUCGUUCCCCGGGGGGCGGA